Molecule: ribosomal RNA, 538 nt
Filed under: uncultured bacterium
Lineage: Bacteria
Description: bacterial SSU rRNA
Rfam family: Bacterial small subunit ribosomal RNA
Source: RNAcentral
AGGAUGAACGCUGGCGGCGUGCCUAAUACAUGCAAGUCGAGCGAACAGAUAAGGAGCUUGCUCCUUUGACGUUAGCGGCGGACGGGUGAGUAACACGUGGGUAACCUACCUAUAAGACUGGAAUAACUCCGGGAAACCGGGGCUAAUGCCGGAUAAUAUUUAGAACCGCAUGGUUCUAAAGUGAAAGAUGGUUUUGCUAUCACUUAUAGAUGGACCCGCGCCGUAUUAGCUAGUUGGUGGGGUAAUGGCUUACCAAGGCAACGAUACGUAGCCGACCUGAGAGGGUGAUCGGCCACACUGGAACUGAGACACGGUCUAGACUCCUACGGGAGGCAGCAGUAGGGAAUCUUCCGCAAUGGGCGAAAGCCUGACGGAGCAACGCCGCGUGAGUGAUGAAGGUCUUCGGAUCGUAAAACUCUGUUAUUAGGGAAGAACAAAUGUGUAAGUAACUGUGCACGUCUUGACGGUACCUAAUCAGAAAGCCACGGCUAACUACGUGCCAGCAGCCGCGGUAAUACGUAGGUGGCAAGCGUUAUCC